CUUUAGGGUUCACGCCCAGAAGAGCCGCAGUGAAUAGGCCCAAGCGACUGUUUAUCAAAAACACAGGUCUCUGCUAAACCGUAAGGUGAUGUAUAGGGGCUGACGCCUGCCCGGUGCUGGAAGGUUAUAGGAGCCAUUGAAACGUGAGCGCUAGCUUACGUGGAGGCGUUGGUGGGAUACUACCCUAGCUGUGUUGGCUUUCUAACCCGCACCACUUAUCGUGGUGGGAGACAGUGUCAGGCGGGCAGUUUGAC
RNAcentral lists this ribosomal RNA (254 nucleotides) under Staphylococcus caprae. Its description in RNAcentral is "partial 23S ribosomal RNA". It matches the Rfam family "Bacterial large subunit ribosomal RNA", at positions 1753 to 1903 of the family's 2925-position model. Lineage: Bacteria; Bacillati; Bacillota; Bacilli; Caryophanales; Staphylococcaceae. The record is from RNAcentral.